RNAcentral lists this ribosomal RNA (494 nucleotides) under uncultured bacterium. RNAcentral describes it as "partial 16S ribosomal RNA". It matches the Rfam family "Bacterial small subunit ribosomal RNA", at positions 28 to 507 of the family's 1533-position model. The record is from RNAcentral.
GACGAACGCUGGCGGCGUGCUUAACACAUGCAAGUCGAACGGUGAAGCGCCUUCCUUUUUGGUGGGUGUGGAGGAGUUGCGAACGGGGGAGUAACACGUGAGUAACCUGCCCCCUUCUGCUGGAUAACCGCAUGAAAGUGUGGCUAAUACGGGAUACUCUGGGUCGGUCGCAUGAUGGGUCUGUGGAAGAUAUUGUUUCGGUGUGGGAUGGGCUCGCGGCCUAUCGUCUUGUGGGUGGGGUGAUGGCCUACCAAGGCGGUGACGAGUUGCCGGCCUGAGAGGAUGGACGGCACCACUGGUGCUGCGCCACCGACAAGCCUCCUACGGGCGGCAGCAGUGAGUAAUAUUGCACAAUCGGAGCACGGCUGAUGCAGCGACGCCGCGUGAGGGAUGGAGGCCUUCGGGUUGUGAACCUCUUUCGCCAGUGAAGAAGGCCUGCCUAGUUUGUGGGUGGGUUGACGGUAGCUGGAUAAGAAGCGCCGGCUAACUACGUG